This 467-nucleotide ribosomal RNA is filed under the name uncultured bacterium. RNAcentral describes it as "partial 16S ribosomal RNA". It matches the Rfam family "Bacterial small subunit ribosomal RNA", at positions 28 to 506 of the family's 1533-position model. The record is from RNAcentral.
GACGAACGCUGGCGGCGUGCUUAACACAUGCAAGUCGAACGGAAAGGCCCUGCUUUUGUGGGGUGCUCGAGUGGCGAACGGGUGAGUAACACGUGAGUAACCUGCCCUUGACUUUGGGAUAACUUCAGGAAACUGGGGCUAAUACCGGAUAGGAGCUCCUGCUGCAUGGUGGGGGUUGGAAAGUUUCGGCGGUUGGGGAUGGACUCGCGGCUUAUCAGCUUGUUGGUGGGGUAGUGGCUUACCAAGGCUUUGACGGGUAGCCGGCCUGAGAGGGUGACCGGCCCAAUGGGGGCUGGAUGACGCCCCACAUUCUUGCGGGAGGGAGAAGGGGGGAUUAUUGCACGAGGGGGGGAAUGCUGAUGGAGCAACGCCGCGUGGGGGUGGACGGCCUUCGGGUGUUAAACAGCUUUGGCCUGGGAGGAGGCGGGAGGGACGGUAAGGGGGAAAAAGCCCCCGGCAAACUAGGG